GGCCUGGGAGUGAGCGUCUGGCGUAGAGCAGCACACAAGACCACUAAGAAAGAAGAGAUCAAAACGCCCCAGGAGAGAUUUCUAACUUAGGAAUAUAAGGAAGAGAGGGAGAGACAAAGCGCUGAAGAAGCGAAGCUGGAAGCCAGAGCUCUGCCUGUACCAAGCUCCCCUCCUGCUAGCAUCUAAGUGGAUUGCACCUCCGCGGUAGGAAUAACAUGAAAGUCAAAACAACUGCACGUGUACACAAUCAAGAAUACCCAGAUAGGCCUGCCCUACUGUCGCCGUACUCCCAGAGAUGGGCCGUGGGCUGAAAAGGAGUACUCUGAGGUCAGAACUCCCACAACCUUUCAUCUGACCUGUCUUUUAUUCUUAAUGACCUCCACUGUAAGUCUUCCACAUUAUAACCUCCUUCCAUUUUUAGUUUGGAUGGGAGUGCCUUCAGAUGAAAAGUAAUGCCCUCAGUUCUUAAUGCUCAGAUCAAAGGGAAAGGGAAUGGCAAACAGAUGAUUUAGCUUCUUGGGUUAGAAGAGUCUCCGUAUGUCAAUCUGGUCGGUCACUUUUUUUUCUGGUUUUUACGAGACAGGGUUUCUCUGUAUUG
Molecule: long non-coding RNA, 598 nt
Organism: Mesocricetus auratus (golden hamster)
Lineage: Eukaryota; Metazoa; Chordata; Mammalia; Rodentia; Cricetidae
Exons: 3
Source: RefSeq, a predicted model, not a curated record